Molecule: ribosomal RNA, 449 nt
Filed under: uncultured bacterium
Lineage: Bacteria
Description: partial 16S ribosomal RNA
Rfam family: Bacterial small subunit ribosomal RNA
Source: RNAcentral
AGCGAACGCUGGCGGCAGGCUUAACACAUGCAAGUCGAACGCAUCCUUCGGGGUGAGUGGCAGACGGGUGAGUAACACGUGGGAACGUACCUCUUUGUUCGGAAUAGCUUUUGGAAACGAAAGGUAAUACCCGAUAAGCCCUUUUGGGGAAAGAUUUAUCGCAGAGAGAUCGGCCCGCGUCUGAUUAGCUAGUUGGUGAGGUAAUGGCUCACCAAGGCGACGAUCAGUAGCUGGUCUGAGAGGAUGAUCAGCCACACUGGGACUGAGACACGGCCCAGACUCCUACGGGAGGCAGCAGUGGGGAAUAUUGGACAAUGGGCGCAAGCCUGAUCCAGCCAUGCCGCGUGAGUGAUGAAGGCCUUAGGGUUGUAAAGCUCUUCUGUCCGGGAAGAUAAUGACUGUACCGGAAGAAUAAGCCCCGGCUAACUUCGUGCCAGCCGCCGCCGUAA